UGUUGUUGUGAUUUGGCGCUAUAUAAAUAAAUUGAUUUGAUUUGAUUUAAAUGUCACAAAUGGGAAACAUAUAUACACACACAAUUUAAAUAAAAUGGAAUCAGAAUAGUUUACUGCAGUGAGCAUUUGCUAUAGUGUGUAUUAGAAAGUGGAAUUGCAUCUGUCUCAUCUUUGAAUUCACAGCCUUUAUACGCUCGAUGGCUGUCUGAUUAAAGAUCCAAAGCAGUUGAAGAGCCACGAACAUUACGUUGCUGUCAGCGUAGGAAGUUUUAAACCUGCUCUCUAUGGACAGGAAGUCCCAGCACCCUCCACAAACAGCAAGAAUGAACGGUAUGAGGCCAGAAAAGAGAAAAUUAAAAUACAUUUUCUUUGUAUUCUCACAUGGCUCUCAUGUCAAAGAACAUUUGUUAACCUUGGCAUUGUGUUUCCUCCCUACAGCAAAAGAACUGUGACUGCUGUUCGAAAAAAGUGUCAUGCACAGGACAAGACCAAGCCUGUUCUCAAGAAAGUCCAGGAAACUGUUCCCAAGAAAAGAAAAGUUGAGUUUUGCCCAAUACAGGUGUAUGCUAAUGGACAACCUCAGGUUCCUCCAGUCCUCAUCAGGAUCCCUAAAUACGCACUGAUGAACUUAGAUAAUGUGAUCACCAUGGUGGCGAGCAGAAUGUGUCUUCACGGUGGAGUGAACAGGUAGUGAACAAGAUCAAUAAUUUGUAAAUCUGAGCCAACAAAAGCUCCAAUACUCAAUAUGCUGACUGCAGUAAAUCUAUAACUGAUUUACAAAAUAAUUACUGAAAACUAAUUUACCCAUAUUGUCUGGAGUAUGUAUAAGUCACAGAGUUAAAAAAGGCCUCUUGAAGUGUAAAAACCCUUAUAUACAGUACAUCUGGAAUGUAUUCACAGCACUUCACUUUUUCUGCAAUUGAUUAUGUUGUAGCCUUAUUUCAAAAUGGACAAAAUUAUUAUUUUUUUC
This is a long non-coding RNA of Thalassophryne amazonica, 970 nucleotides long. RefSeq lists it as uncharacterized. Lineage: Eukaryota; Metazoa; Chordata; Actinopteri; Batrachoidiformes; Batrachoididae. The record is from RefSeq and is a predicted model, not a curated record. The transcript has 3 exons.